This 497-nucleotide ribosomal RNA is filed under the name uncultured bacterium. RNAcentral's name for it is "partial 16S ribosomal RNA". It matches the Rfam family "Bacterial small subunit ribosomal RNA", at positions 28 to 507 of the family's 1533-position model. The record is from RNAcentral.
GAUGAACGCUGGCGGCGUGCCUAAUACAUGCAAGUCGAGCGAACAGACGAGGAGCUUGCUCCUCUGACGUUAGCGGCGGACGGGUGAGUAACACGUGGAUAACCUACCUAUAAGACUGGGAUAACUUCGGGAAACCGGAGCUAAUACCGGAUAAUAUAUUGAACCGCAUGGUUCAAUAGUGAAAGACGGUUUUGCUGUCACUUAUAGAUGGAUCCGCGCCGCAUUAGCUAGUUGGUAAGGUAACGGCUUACCAAGGCGACGAUGCGUAGCCGACCUGAGAGGGUGAUCGGCCACACGGGAACUGAGACACGGUCCAGGCUCCUACGGGAGGCAGCAGUAGGGAAUCGUCCGCAAUGGGCGAAAGCCUGACGGAGCAACGCCGCGUGAGUGAUGAAGGUCUUCGGAUCGUAAAACUCUGUUAUUAGGGAAGAACAAAUGUGUAAGGAACUAUGCACGGCUUGACGGUACCGAAUCAGAAAGCCACGGCUAACUACGUG